RNAcentral lists this unclassified non-coding RNA (405 nucleotides) under soil metagenome. RNAcentral describes it as "partial contains 5.8S ribosomal RNA, internal transcribed spacer 2, and large subunit ribosomal RNA". The stretch from base 1 to 122 matches the Rfam family "5.8S ribosomal RNA", at positions 35 to 154 of the family's 154-position model. The record is from RNAcentral.
GAUGAAGAACGUAGCAAAAUGCGAUACUUGGUGUGAAUUGCAGAAUCCCGUGAACCAUCGAGUUUUUGAACGCAAGUUGCGCCCGAAGCCUUUUGGCCGAGGGCACGUCUGCCUGGGCGUCACGCAUCGCGUCGCCCCCUACAAAUUCUCCGUCAGGGGAGCUUGUGUUUCGGGGGCGGAUACUGGUCUCCCGUGCUCAUGGCGCGGUUGGCCGAAAUAGGAGUCCCUUCGAUGGACGCACGAACUAGUGGUGGUCGUAAAAACCCUCGUCUUUUGUUUCGUGCCGUUAGUCGCGAGGGAAGCUCUUCAAAAACCCCAACGCGUCGUCUCUUGACGGCGCUUCGACCGCGACCCCAGGUCAGGCGGGACUACCCGCUGAGUUUAAGCAUAUCAAUAAGCGGAGGA